This is a long non-coding RNA of Eucalyptus grandis, 1909 nucleotides long. RefSeq lists it as uncharacterized. The record is from RefSeq and is a predicted model, not a curated record. The transcript has 2 exons. Lineage: Eukaryota; Viridiplantae; Streptophyta; Magnoliopsida; Myrtales; Myrtaceae.
GAAAGACCAUGUAUUGACUCUAACAUGCUAUCUUUGCAUUGAAAACCUUCCAGAUCGCAAAGAAGACUACAUACAUGAAGCCAUGAUCGAGUUCUCGACCAGGUAACUCUCUCCUUGGUUGUUAGAAACACAAGUAUUGAGUGUACAUAACAAAUGAGAAAUUCAACAAGUACAUAACAAAUGAGAAAUUCAACAAGCGUGACAAAGACUGAAAAUUUUUGCCUGGCUCCUGACUGUCUGCCUUUACUUUCACUAUUCUAUUUAGGAAACUGGUUCCCACUGGAAAACAGGGUUCGCAUUGUGACUGUGCACCUCACCUGAUGGUCGGACGACAACGGCCUUCCAGCUGCAAUUGGACUCCGAAUCAGAAGGCUUCACGUGGGAGGGCGUUUCGGUCAUUCCGUCCUCCUCAGAGGAAAAACAUGAGGAAUUGCUUUUUCUCUGCCUUCAUCCGUUUCUGAUAAUCUGGACGAAGGCCAUUAGCCCACCAAUAUUUAUACUAAGCACAGCACCUCUCUCUCUCUCUCUAACAUGAAGAUGAAGAGAGAGAGAGAGAGAGAAGAACAGAGAGAUCAUUGGGAGAGGGAGAGAAAGAGAGAUGGGAUUAUAAAGAGGGGUCCCGGGGGGCAAAGGGGCAUUUGUUUAUUAUAUGGAUUUCUCGUUUCACACGCUGUUUGUCCAGUGUUUAAUGUCCAGGUUUCAUCCCGAGAUUACAACAUGUACUACCUCGAGGCUCAUUUUGAAAGUAAAAUGGCGCUUUUCUUGAAUCCAGCAUUUCUCACUCAAAAGGGAUCUCGAGAGCCAUGCCGACCUCAUUGUGAGUGCUAUCUCAUCCGAUGCACGUGGAUAGGGCGAUUUAUGUAAGUUCACAAGGAUCAAUCGAACUGAAAGAUUGGAUCCUUGUCUUAAUAGAAUAUAUUAUAUAUAAAUUGUGUAUAAAGUUUAAAAGAAAAGAGGGAAGGAGAAUUGUCAUCGUCUUUGGCAAGGCACUGUAAAUUGGCACUGAGCGGCCGGUGAAGAGCCCCUUUCAACUUUCUCUUCGGUCCGUUUUUCUAGUACAAGACACAAACUCUCCCUUUCACCCUGGUCCCCCUCCAAUUGGCUUCAAGCCAUCAAUCAUCACGCUAAUCUCACCCCAGACAACACGUCGUUUCCGUGCAACUUCCCCCAAUCAGUUUCUUCUGUACCCACCAUCACCGCAACUUUGCACUCCGCCGGUUUUCUUGCUCCUCCUGCAACUUUGUUCCUUCCCCUGGAUUGACCGCUCACCCAACCCAGCAAAACCCCAAAUCUUGAUUUACUUAAAUCGGUCUUUUGUCUGAUUAGAUUAAUGACCGCAAAGUUGUAAGUUUCCCCUGUCUUUUAGUUUAUUUGAUCUUCGUACGUUCGUGCCUCGAGCUCAGCAUGAAGUGACAAGAACAUGCAAAGAUCCAAGCAGUGUUUGAAUCUGCAAAAAAAAGACACGAAGACGCCCUGCAGCUGCACGACUUUAGAACACGCAAGUUGGUACAGCAUUGGAAUGUCCCCUGCUUUUAGGACCUAUACUGCUGGAGUAGUGACAAGACAAAAUUCCUGAGAAGAGUGUGUCAUGUUCGUUGACUAAUUCAUGGUUCUAUCUUUGGUUGGUAAAUUAUUUGGCAAUCAAUGGAAUUUAUUCGAUUAAUUCCGGGUUUAUUUCUUGAUUUGAUGCACUGAUUACAAUUAGACAGGAUAGUAGCAAGUGUUUUGAGGUUUUCGUACUCUGUUAUACCUUUGAGAAACACCCUCUAUGAUCAUCCAUUUUCGAGUGAAAUUGUUAUCAGGCUCAAAUGAAUAGAGUUUUGAUUCAAUUCUCUCGUAAUUCCUGGUGAUGAUAUUGAAACACUCGUCGUCCUCUCUUGAAUAUAGGCAAAAUUGCCAAAAAGGUAAA